AGCUUUGCGCAAUGGCAGUAUUGUAGCCAAUGAGGUUUAUUUGAGGUGCCUCAUUGCUAAUUGAAAACUUUUCACAAUACCCCACAGUGACAUCUUGCAAUAUGGUCAGCACUGGCAAUUUUUGAUGGUUCCUACGGGGA
This 140-nucleotide small nuclear RNA is filed under the name Microcebus murinus (gray mouse lemur). RNAcentral's name for it is "U4 spliceosomal RNA (ENSMICG00000047720.1)". It matches the Rfam family "U4 spliceosomal RNA". Rfam says of the family: U4 small nuclear RNA (U4 snRNA) is a component of the major U2-dependent spliceosome. The structure of U4 snRNA from yeast and human has been reported. The record is from Rfam by way of RNAcentral. Lineage: Eukaryota; Metazoa; Chordata; Mammalia; Primates; Cheirogaleidae.